GACGAACGCUGGCGGCGUGCCUAAUACAUGCAAGUAGAACGCUGAAGAGAGGAGCUUGCUCUUCUUGGAUGAGUUGCGAACGGGUGAGUAACGCGUAGGUAACCUGCCUUGUAGCGGGGGAUAACUAUUGGAAACGAUAGCUAAUACCGCAUAACAAUGGAUGACACAUGUCAUUUAUUUGAAAGGGGCAAUUGCUCCACUACAAGAUGGACCUGCGUUGUAUUAGCUAGUAGGCGAGGUAAUGGCUCACCUAGGCGACGAUACAUAGCCGACCUGAGAGGGUGAUCGGCCACACUGGGACUGAGACACGGCCCAGACUCCUACGGGAGGCAGCAGUAGGGAAUCUUCGGCAAUGGGGGCAACCCUGACCGAGCAACGCCGCGUGAGUGAAGAAGGUUUUCGGAUCGUAAAGCUCUGUUGUAAGUCAAGAACGGGUGUGAGAGUGGAAAGUUCACACUGUGACGGUAGCUUACCAGAAAGGGACGGCUAACUACGUG
RNAcentral lists this ribosomal RNA (497 nucleotides) under uncultured bacterium. RNAcentral describes it as "partial 16S ribosomal RNA". It matches the Rfam family "Bacterial small subunit ribosomal RNA", at positions 28 to 507 of the family's 1533-position model. The record is from RNAcentral.